AAACCAAUAAUCACUACAGGAAAAAUAAUCACAAAAGCAUUUCUAUGUCACUACAUUCCAUCAUGGUAAUUAGCAGCAUCAUACAACAAGCCGAACUUUAUAGCAGCAAUGCUUCUACAAUGUACCUCAACAUCAGCCUUUUGGUGUUUCUUGAUGAUUCGAAUAACAUGCCUAGCUGUUUCUUCAGCUGUUAUCGGUGGUGGCCCCGCUUCUCUCCAGCUCUCAACUAGUUUUCUAUACUUCACAUAUUUCGAAAUUCAGACACAUAAAAGAUCAAAUCUUUUAAAACCAUUUUUUCUCUCUCUCAUUUCUAAACUAAUGACAUAGAUUUUGAUCAUCGCUAUUGCUGCGUAUCGAUUUUAGCUUCUUCUCUACUCUACCGAUCCUCAAAAGAACAACAACCCAAAAACAAAAACAAAUAGAGAGAAAUACAGAAAGAGAGACCUGAAGCCCUUCUUUUUGGACAUCACGAUCUUCUUCAUUAUCAAAGAGUUGAAGACCUUGCUUACCCGGAAUACGAUUCCAAUAUAUUACUUGUUAAGGAUCCGAGUUAUAGCACUCUUGAAGAGUAACGCCAAGGCGCGUAUCAAUUCCAACCAGAGAAAAAAGUAUUGCCAGUCUCAAUUCCGACGGAGGAAGAAGCAGCUCUAAGCGACUCAGGGUAGGAGAAGAAGACAUACUGUGACUAAAGUCACAGACCCAUGUUUAGUUUUUGACUGUGAAUAUUAACUGAUGGCUGAUUGUGAUCCCGGAGUAAAGUUUUGUGGCUGUGGUGCAGACCAAAUUUGAGGUGGAACAAGCUGCUCACUAUCUGAUAUUCAAGUGUCAAGUAAAACGAAUAAUGAAAUGAAAGUGGCUGAAUUGGAAGCUAAACUUAGCAGUAAGAUAAGCAAAAUUGAAGCCCUUAUUUACUGGCAAGUCAUCCAAGCUACUAACAUUUUGGCGACCAAAUUUGAUUAGCUCAGCGUGAUUUCUUCCCAUAUCAGAGAAAAGAAAAAGGGAUUAUGAGAGACUUCGAUUCAAUUGAUAAAAGAAUUUUAUCAUCAAAUACUUGCCAAGGCUUUAGCGCAUUUCUUUCAAUCGAAAUUUCUGAUCAUAACUUGGUCAAAGCUUAGCAUCAGCCUCUGUGCACAACUAUAUAUUGAAGACUUUUGUCAUGGAAAGAUGUCAAAAAAGAAGCAAUUAGGCUUUCAAAUAUAUUUCUGCUCACCUCAUUAGGGAUGCCAGUUUCAAGAAUAAGUCUGAAACAAAUACGGUGACUGAGGUAAUUAAUCAAUAGUAGUUAUUAUUUACUUUUUUGGUUUUCCAUUCAAACGUACCUUCUUUCUCUUAUGUCAGUUAUGUGUAGAUCUCCCUUGCAGCUCUAUUUUCAAGUUGAGCGGGAACUGGUGAUUCAGUCCACCAGAUUGAAAACAUUGAUAAGAGAUUUUAGAUGAAAUUGUAGAGGAACCACUUUUCAAUUAGCAAAGAUGAUAUACUGAGACUGAAAGUAUUACUUUUUUUUUUUUUUGAGAAGACUGAAAGUAUUACUUAUAUAUAAUGACUAGCUAAAAAAUUUGGAUUUUAUAAUAUAUAUUCUGAUGUAUAUGUCUUACCAUUUUGUAGAUAUUCUUCUUUUUCUUCAAGCAAUGAACAACUAAAUAUGAUAAAUGAGUUGGGAUUC
Rosa chinensis is the source of this 1663-nucleotide long non-coding RNA. RefSeq lists it as uncharacterized. The transcript has 8 exons. NCBI's taxonomy places the organism in Eukaryota, Viridiplantae, Streptophyta, Magnoliopsida, Rosales, Rosaceae. The record is from RefSeq and is a predicted model, not a curated record.